This 787-nucleotide long non-coding RNA is filed under the name Nicotiana tabacum (common tobacco). RNAcentral's name for it is "long non-coding RNA (NTAB_LNC012263)". The record is from RNAcentral. Lineage: Eukaryota; Viridiplantae; Streptophyta; Magnoliopsida; Solanales; Solanaceae.
CUGUCUUAUGAUCUAACGGUUUUAAUGACCAUUGGGUUCCAUUCCAUCGUGAGUCUUUGUGUCCAACAAACAUCUUUUAGUCAUACUGAACUUUGAAAAUGUCUCGACUUAUAUAAAAUCAUCUAUUUAUGAUGUUAUCGACUCAUUUCUUGGAAGUCAGUUUUUUCUUUCCUUCUUGACAACUUUCAAACAAAUCUGCACAUGCUCAUAGUCUCGUAGUCUAUUUCCUGACAGCUUAGAAGCAUGUGCAACCUCGUUAGUUUUAUUACAUUUCAACUUCAGCAUAUUAUUAUUUGAUAAGGGUUGUUUGUGUAGAUUUAGUCUCUUUCAUACCGUAGAAUGUCUCAAUCUUAUUAGACCAUCCUCCAUGCAUCUAACAAGUUUGUGUGAGAAACCAAAUGAACCUCUUGGGACUAAUAUCAAUUGGAGAGCAACUAUCAUAUUCUGAAUUGCUUUAAAAUUAAUAAUUUUUCGUGUUAUUUUUUCCCCUUAAAGUUCUAAUCUGAAUUGCUUCAUCUUCUUACAGGUUAUAUCAUCCCAACUGCCGUUACUUAUGCUAGACUAACAAGUUCAAGUAAGUGGCAGGAAGCUUCUCUUUCAGGUCUUUGGAUACACGUAAAUUAUUUGAAGCAUUCUUUUCCAGCCUAACAGAUAGUUUUCCUCCAUUUUCUGUUCUUUCCAGAGCAGGCGUAAAUGUAAAUCCAACUAUUGUAGUUGACAGCAGUAAUAGGAGGCAUUUGAUUAAACAAUUGAAUUCAUCAUCCAACUGUGCGUUGCUUUAAGAAGG